This 29-nucleotide small RNA is filed under the name Bombyx mori (domestic silkworm). RNAcentral describes it as "ovarian small RNA-13868". The record is from RNAcentral. Lineage: Eukaryota; Metazoa; Arthropoda; Insecta; Lepidoptera; Bombycidae.
CCGCCGACAGAUUGGGUCCCACCCUGACC